RNAcentral lists this ribosomal RNA (497 nucleotides) under uncultured bacterium. Its description in RNAcentral is "partial 16S ribosomal RNA". It matches the Rfam family "Bacterial small subunit ribosomal RNA", at positions 28 to 507 of the family's 1533-position model. The record is from RNAcentral.
GAUGAACGCUGGCGGCGUGCCUAAUACAUGCCAGUCGAGCGAACAGACGAGGAGCUUGCUCCUCUGACGUUAGCGGCGGACGGGUGAGUAACACGUGGAUAACCUACCUAUAAGACUGGGAUAACUUCGGGAAACCGGAGCUAAUACCGGAUAAUAUAUUGAACCGCAAGGUUCAAUAGUGAAAGACGGUUUUGCUGUCACUUAUAGAUGGAUCCGCGCCGCAUUAGCUAGUUGGUAAGGUAACGGCCUACCAAGGCAACGAUGCGUAGCCGACCUGAGAGGGUGUUCGCCCACACUGGAACGGGAACACGGUCCAGACUCCUACGGGAGGCGGCAGAAGGGAAUCUUCCGCAAUGGGGGAAAGCCUGACGGAGCAACGCCGCGUGAGUGAGAAAGGUCUUCGGAUCGUAAAACUCUGUUAUUAGGGAAAAACAAAUUUGUAAGUAACUAUGCACGUCUUGACGGUACCUAAUCAGAAAGCCACGGCUAACUACGUG